UUGUAUUAUUACUGAGUGGUGUUGGUGGCUGCAUUAGGAUGUUGAUUAUUUGCUUGCUGCUGUUG
Molecule: small RNA, 65 nt
Filed under: Drosophila ananassae
Lineage: Eukaryota; Metazoa; Arthropoda; Insecta; Diptera; Drosophilidae
Description: GF27562
Source: RNAcentral